RNAcentral lists this unclassified non-coding RNA (403 nucleotides) under fungal sp. Its description in RNAcentral is "partial internal transcribed spacer region". The stretch from base 1 to 46 matches the Rfam family "Eukaryotic small subunit ribosomal RNA", at positions 1786 to 1831 of the family's 1831-position model. The record is from RNAcentral. Lineage: Eukaryota; Fungi.
AAGUCGUAACAAGGUUUCCGUAGGUGAACCUGCGGAAGGAUCAUGUAAACGUUUUUCAAAACUUAAACAAGGGAGAAGCGGGCCGGGUCACGGGGGGAAACUUCUGUGGCCUUGUCUGUCUUCUUUCUUUUUAAACCCAUCGCGAACUGGAUUUCGUAGCACAUGUGGGAGACUGCACAUUCGUACACGACGGCGCGGCAUUUCGGUGCGCGUGGUCGGGCGCGACUGCCAGUCCCCCCUUUGCGACCUUUUCUCAUUUUUUUCACCCCUUUUUGAAAACAUUCAAAACUUUUAAAACGAAUCUGUUUUUUUGUUUUUCUCGCUUGCGCGAAAAAAGCAAGACAGUGAUCGCUUCUUUUAAUGCAAAAGAGAACAACUCUUAGCAACGGAUAUCUUGGUUCCC